RNAcentral lists this ribosomal RNA (254 nucleotides) under uncultured bacterium. Its description in RNAcentral is "partial 16S ribosomal RNA". It matches the Rfam family "Bacterial small subunit ribosomal RNA", at positions 524 to 776 of the family's 1533-position model. The record is from RNAcentral.
CACGUAGGCACCAAGCGUUGUCCGGAUUUAUUGGGCGUAAAGAGCUCGUAGGCGGUUCGGUACGUCGGGUGUGAAAACUCUGGGCUCAACCCAGAGAUGCCACCCGAUACUGCUGUGACUCGAGUGCGGUAGGGGAGCGGGGAAUUCCUGGUGUAGCGGUGAAAUGCGCAGAUAUCAGGAAGAACACCCGUGGCGAAAGCGGCUCUCUGGAACGGUACUGACGCUGAGACGCGAAAGCGUGGGGAGCGAACAGG